Molecule: ribosomal RNA, 466 nt
Filed under: uncultured bacterium
Lineage: Bacteria
Description: partial 16S ribosomal RNA
Rfam family: Bacterial small subunit ribosomal RNA
Source: RNAcentral
GAUGAACGCUGGCGGCGUGCUUAACACAUGCGAGUCGAACGAUGAAGCCCAGCUUGCUGGGUGGAUUAGUGGCGAACGGGUGAGUAACACGUGAGUAACCUGCCCUUAACUCUGGGAUAAGCCUGGGAAACUGGGUCUAAUACCGGAUAGGAGCGUCCACCGCAUGGUGGGUGUUGGAAAGAUUUAUCGGUUUUGGAUGGACUCGCGGCCUAUCAGCUUGUUGGUGAGGUAAUGGCUCACCAAGGCGACGACGGGUAGCCGGCCUGAGAGGGUGACCGGCCACACUGGGACUGAGACACGGCUCAGACUCCUACGGGAGGCAGCAGUGGGGAAUAUUGCACAAUGGGCGAAAGCCUGAUGCAGCGACGCCGCGUGAGGGAUGACGGCCUUCGGGUUGUAAACCUCUUUCAGUAGGGAAGAAGCGAAAGUGACGGUACCUGCAGAAGAAGCACCGGCUAACUACGUG